AUCCUCAGGUGAGGAUUAACAACAACAAAAAAUGUCAGCUGGAGUCCCCGUAAUCUCGGGCAUGCCUGCCUAUGCCAUCACCGGAGGAGGAUUAAAAAAUACUGUCGCCUGCUUUGCACUCUGAGAACUUCUGACUUAAUUGGUCAGGGCUGGGGCCUAGGCACUGGGAUUUUGAUAUCCAACUGAUUCCCAAAGGAACGGCAGACAUGUAACUCAAUUAGACUUCCUCUAAAAGUCCUAUGACUCCUACAACAUCUGGGAUUUGCAGCCGGUGCAGGGUUCUCUCUCAAAGUCACGCCUGCGUCCACCUGUGCUUUUGGUUCCAGAGAUCUAUGCAGAUAUAUAACCCAGCCCCCUUCUUGAUUCCCAGUAAAUGAAAAGCAACCAAACAAAACCACAUGAAAGCAUCCUUCAACCAAAGCCUUCGUUAGGUCAGUGAACUUUUGUGGAGACUUGUUGCAGCCGAAGAGAUUUCUGUGGAGCAAUAACCUUGACAUGUUCAACCCUUUCCUUGAAAUGCUCUUGACCUCACUCCUAGAGGUAGUUGCCCUUUGACCUUCACCUCUCGGAGUCACUGACCUUCUUUCUCUCACUGGUCCCUCUUUCCUUGGCAUUUCUCAUUUGUCCACCCUAUCCCUUUCCUGGAGAUCCCUUCCUGAGGAUCCGUCAGCUGGUCCAAACCUCCCUCUAUGGGGCAGAGCAGCUCAGUUCUUUCAAGACUUAAUCACACCCAUCAAGGUGCUCAGAAUAUAAAGGGUUUCCUAGUCAACAGGCUCUACCCUCUUAGUGAAGUCUUUUCAUCAUGAAUAACAACAUGUUUUCCUUUUACCCAAAUGCCUGCGGAAUCCAGGCCCCUGAGGAACAGAUUAAGUGAAAUACCUGCCUGUCCUGGACACUGCACUCCGGCCACUCCACUCGCCAUGCCAUGAAUGGUGCUGAGGAAUGCUAGCCCUUGGCCCUGUGUGUUUCUCACAUCGCAUUGUCCAGGUGGAGGUAACACCACGGGAAAAUCCCUGAGGGGUAUCCUGUGAAAAGAUACACCUCAAUAACUCUAGUCUUCCAAACUCAUCUGCUGUUGAAACAAGUGUUGUCCAUUCUCUCUUCCUGAGAUUGAUAACUUCCAUCUAAGAAGACAUUUCUCAUCAGAAUGUCUGCAACCCAAGCUGCCUUUGGACUGAGUUGUUUUCUGGUGGGAGACAACGGACAGUGAACCUGGAACCUUGUCUGGAAAGAAAAUCACUAAGACGCAUGGAGGAUAGACAAAAAUAAAUUCCUACAAAGAAACCAAUAGGUGCAGCGCAUGUUGGGGCCAUCUCCUGUAAACCCCUCCGGAGAGAGGGCAUUUGCUCAUCCAGCCAGGCCCACAGCUUAGCUCAUGGAAGCGCAUCCACAAGCUGAGAAGUUGUGCAAAGAGUGAUGCACUGAGCUCAGCUUCAUCCUCCAACAUCCCUAGUGAGGCCACAGCCCAGGAGCCAGUGAGUCCAGUCUGUUUCAGAAGCCACAGGGGGUCUGAGGAGCCAGUGGGACAAGGAAACACUGGGGCCCAUAAAAACCUC
Molecule: long non-coding RNA, 1556 nt
Organism: Myotis brandtii (Brandt's bat)
Lineage: Eukaryota; Metazoa; Chordata; Mammalia; Chiroptera; Vespertilionidae
Exons: 4
Source: RefSeq, a predicted model, not a curated record